This is a long non-coding RNA of Serinus canaria (Common canary), 1757 nucleotides long. The record is from Ensembl. NCBI's taxonomy places the organism in Eukaryota, Metazoa, Chordata, Aves, Passeriformes, Fringillidae.
CGCGUCUCUGCCGAGGCGCACGCGCGGUCGCGCCCUGGGGGGCGGCUCGGCCGGGACGCGCUUGACCUUCCCAAGAUGGCGGCAAAAAAAGGGGCGGGAAAAAGGAGCACCACGGUCCGUAUGCUAGACUGCCCGCACGCCGCCCCGACGCCGCCCCGGCGGGAUUUUCCGUGAGGUAUGCAGGGCCGAGCACACGGGCCGUGGGUCAGUGGCGCCGCUGGCGGGCGGGUGGUGGGCGGGCGCCGACAGGCAGUGGCAAUGACGCCUCUCUCUGACGACGACCCGCAGCCGUUGCCGUCCCGGGAUGCCGGGUGACCUUGCCAAGAUGGCGACACAAAGGGGGCGCGAUCGAGGCUCGCGGUCCGUUCGCUGCGCUGCCCGCGCGGCGCUCCCAUGGCGGCGCCGCCCCGUCGGGGUUUUCCGCGGUGGUUCCGGUGCGGGGCUCACGGGCCGUGGGCUCGGCAGCGCCGCGGGCGGGCGGGUUUCGGGGGGCCGCUGACGGGCAUUGGCGGGGUGGCCUCUCUUCGCCGAGGUACUCACGGUCCAUGCUCUGCUGCUGGAGAGGGGUUUUGUACUGGGAAAGCUUAUUUUAUUUUUCCGAAUGAAAAUAAGCUGCCCAGUAUGCCCAUGUACCCGUCAGUAAAACACUUGCUUUGGUAGGGAAUUUAGUACUGAAAAGUAGGGGGUUUAUUUUGUUUUAGCGUGGAUGAGUCUCCAAUGACUUAAUAGUCACAACAAUGUCAGUAUUACAGCCGAAAGGUCUUAAUUGGAUAGAUGUUGAGGCAAAAAAUACACUGAUAUUCCUGUGCUGGCACAUAUCUGCAGCUGGGAAAGAGCAGAGGAACACCACUGUGCAGGUGUUAGCAGAAAAUUUGGGAAGAUCUGUUCUGGUGAAAUAUGGGAUUCAAGUUGAGGAUUGAUUCAUCAGUGGUGCUGUUAACACUGUCAGAAUGGCUCACUCACUCUCCACCCGGCUGGUGUGGCCUCAAAGGCUGCCCCUGCUGAGGGCAGAGUGUGUGAAGCCUCUGCUGAGCAGGCGCUGGCAUCCCCCCAGAACUCCUUCUCACGGCAGGGACGGAGACGGACCCAGCCCAGCACAUGGAAAUGGAUCUCUCCAGCUGAGCGCUCGAGUGCUGAAGCUACCAGGGAGCGUGCUCAGCACGACCCAGGCAACCCUCACAUCUCCAGGGCUAGUGAUUCUUGCACCUUCAGAGCCACAGUAUCAGCCAGCUUUUUUUUUCCCCAGGCUUUCAAUCACCUCUCAAGCAGACGAAUACUCCCCUUGGAAGCUGCUGUGCCCUGUGAGCCUGAGAGCCUGGCAGGCACAACCCGGGAGCAGCAGGGAGAGGUGGGUUCGUCGUGGAGGAUCCAGGAGCUCGGUGUGCGUGUCUGAGCCUGCAGUUCCAAGGUGCAGCAGGACCCAAGGUCUGCACACACCCAUGUACAGCACUUGUAAACAGCGUUAACGUGAAGAUAACGCGUGCGGGGAGUGUGCCGUGGGUUACCACAAGCGAUGAAGGAUUUUGGGACGGUGCCAAGGCAGUUUCCCCCUCAGCGCACUGGUUUUUUUUCCGGAAGAAUUACGCGAGAGCGGAAAAGUUGCAAUGGCAUCGCAGUUCCCUGCUCAGAAAAUGCCCAGGGAGUGAAGCACGGCCAAGUGGUGCCAUUNUAAACGUCAGGAGGAUGACGACAACUGUCAGGACACACUCUUAAGAGAAAUGAAUAAAGAUAAAGAAUAAAGAAUACUUGUUUACUAA